AUGAGAACUUGUUCUCAACUGGCUUACCUGGUUAAAUAAAGAUGGUGAGGCUGCUUCUCUCCAGAGGAGCCAACAUUAAUGCCUUUGACAAGAAGGAUCGCCGAGCAAUCCACUGGGCUGCUUACAUGGGGCACAUUGAGGUGGUGAAACUGCUGGCCUCUCAUGGAUCAGAGGUGUCCUGUAAAAACAAGAAGGCCUACACCCCUCUCCACUCUGCAGCCUCCAGUGGAAUGAUCAGUGUGGUCAAGUACCUCCUGGACCUUGGUGUGGAUGUGAGUCAACACGCAUUCAAAUGUGUAGGGGGUUUUCAUAAUAGUAAUGAAGAGAGAGAGGUUAGAGCCAGUGAU
This is a long non-coding RNA of Coregonus clupeaformis (lake whitefish), 347 nucleotides long. RefSeq lists it as uncharacterized. The record is from RefSeq and is a predicted model, not a curated record. The transcript has 3 exons. NCBI's taxonomy places the organism in Eukaryota, Metazoa, Chordata, Actinopteri, Salmoniformes, Salmonidae.